This is a long non-coding RNA of Triticum dicoccoides, 955 nucleotides long. RefSeq lists it as uncharacterized. The transcript is spliced from 4 exons. Lineage: Eukaryota; Viridiplantae; Streptophyta; Magnoliopsida; Poales; Poaceae. The record is from RefSeq and is a predicted model, not a curated record.
AACCUAGAUCUCCGGAGCCCUCCCAAAUCCUCUUCUCCUCAGGCACACAACGCCUCGGCCGAUGUUCCUCUCCUCGACCGCCGCAGAUGUUCCUCUCCUCCGCCGCCACCUACGUUCAUCUCCGCGACCGCCUCCCUCCAGCCACUGCCACCCUGCGUUGCAUCGCUGGCCCUUGAAUCCCGCCGCACACUUCAUCUCGCUGCUCCACUGGUGCCUUGCGUCUGCCCGCCGCUCCCCAUCCACCUGAAGGCGGCCACAACUGACGAGCCCUCAACUUGCAAUGCCGCCGCUGCUCCCCAUCCACCUGAAGGCGGCCACCGCUCACGAGCCCUCUUCUCUGAAGGCCACCGCUGCUCCCCAUGGACCUGAAACCCGCGAGCGCUCACGACCCUCCCCUCUUAAGCCCGAUGCCGCUCACAUCUGUGCUUCUCCCCCGACCAACUAGAUCCCGACCUCCCCACUAGCGAGCUCCGUCGCCCCUCUGCUAUAUUGCUGCUCCUACCUGCUCCAGCCCGCCCCCUCGACCAGCAAGCUCCACCACCGGCCGCUGCUCCUCUAUCGUUCUGCUACGUACUCGGUACUCCGGCCUGCUCCACCGAUUAAUUUUGUGAAGCCACAGUGAGCUAGGGGUUGCACUGCAGGAGCAUAGCCUGUACAAGUACUGAACAUUGAAGAUUGCAUUGCAGCUCAUCAAUUGUGAAUGAAGAAAGGGCAACAAAGAUAUCUAAGGUUCAGCGUGGUCAGCAAAAUGAUAACUGAAGAAUGUUGACUCUGCUGUUGGUACUUGGACACUAAAUAGUUGUUUGCUUUUGGGAACGUGGUGGUACUUGGCAAUAUGCAAAAUGUAUUAUCUUAUUUUUUUAAUUCUAUAUGGUGUCAAUCAGAGUUGGAUUUGUGAGGUAGUUCAUAAAUAUAUGAACUUUAUCAGAUUUAUAAAUGAUGGUCGAAUUUGGUA